CCCCUAGAUGUUCUGGGCCGCACGCGCGCUACACUGAACAGUUCAACAAGUCUUAACCUUGGCCGAUAGGUCUGGGUAAUCUUUGAACGCUGUUCGUGAUUGGGAUAGACCUUUGCAAUUAUGGGUCUUCAACGAGGAAUUCCUAGUGAACGCAAGUCAUCAGCUUGCAUUGAUUACGUCCCUGCCCUUUGUACACACCGCCCGUCGCACCUACCGAUUGAAUGGUCCGGUGAAAUCUCGGGACGGCGGCUUGGUCGCUUGCGUCCGACUGCUGAAACUUGAUUAAACCAUAUCAUUUAGAGGAAGGUGAAGUCGUAACA
Molecule: ribosomal RNA, 320 nt
Filed under: uncultured eukaryote
Lineage: Eukaryota
Description: partial 18S ribosomal RNA
Rfam family: Eukaryotic small subunit ribosomal RNA
Source: RNAcentral